This is a long non-coding RNA of Hermetia illucens (black soldier fly), 611 nucleotides long. RefSeq lists it as uncharacterized. NCBI's taxonomy places the organism in Eukaryota, Metazoa, Arthropoda, Insecta, Diptera, Stratiomyidae. The record is from RefSeq and is a predicted model, not a curated record. The transcript has 3 exons.
AUUUGUCGGUAACCACCACCUGAAAGUCUUGCUGCCACACCAUUCAAAGAGUGUUUUUCUUUUCUUCACCGCGAUGAUGAUGGUGGUGAUGAUGAUCAUCAGCUGGUAAGACAAUUCAGUGGCAUUGAGACUAGUCGAAGAGAGCAGUGCAUAAUCCACAUUUGGAGAAAGAUCGAAAGCUGAAAUCGCGAUUGGGGCGUUAGUUAAUGAUAUCUAAUGGUUCAUUCCAGCUAUCCAUCCAGCUUUGACUCCAUUCACGUUUUCUUGCCACAGAGAUGCAUGUUGUGAUGCUCUCGUUGUUGUUACCUUGCUGUCUUGUACUUGGCCUAAGGGGCCUUAGGUCUCCAAGAGGAGAUCAUGCCUGCUACCUUCGGAAGCAUCUUUCGCAAUAGAUAUAACUAUAUGAUGGAGCAGUUCCGCUUGGUGCAACAACUUUGGCGCUCCGUUUGUGUAUUGAGGAUGGAUGUAAGCUACUAUAAUAAGAUACUAGCGGAAUUGUGAAGUUAUGACUGUUUUUAAACAACCUUUUUGUAUGUUGAAUUGUUAGUUGGUUGGUGAUGGCAGCAGAUAUUUGUUGUUAAUUUUAGUGUGUUUUAUAAAGCGUGGGUUGA